ACCGCCAAGGUUUGCCGCCCGAUGCCAUUAGGUUGAGGGCACGUCUGCCUGGGUGUCACAUAUCGAAGCCACCUGCCAAUUUCCCUUUGAUUAUUGUGCAGGGUGGAUGUUGGCCUCCCGUGAGCUCUUUUGUCUCAUGGUUGGUUGAAAAUUGAGACCUUGGUAUGGUGUGCCAUGAUAGAUGGUGGUUGUGUGACCCACGAGACCAAUCAUGCGCUACUUUAUUAAAUUUGGCCUCUUUUGCCCAUAUGCGUUUCUAAACGCUCGUGAUGAGACCUCAGGUCAGGCGGGGCUACCCGCUGAAUUUAAGCAUAUCAAUAAGCGGAGGAAAAGAAACUAACUAGGAUUCCCUUAGUAACGGCGAGCGAACCGGGAUAAGCCCACCAUGAGAAUCGGUCGCCCUCGGCGUUCGAAUUGUAUCGAAAAAAACCCUUAAAAUUUUUU
Molecule: ribosomal RNA, 444 nt
Filed under: Vicia hyrcanica
Lineage: Eukaryota; Viridiplantae; Streptophyta; Magnoliopsida; Fabales; Fabaceae
Description: eukaryotic LSU rRNA
Rfam family: Eukaryotic large subunit ribosomal RNA (bases 273-444)
Source: RNAcentral